This 497-nucleotide ribosomal RNA is filed under the name uncultured bacterium. Its description in RNAcentral is "partial 16S ribosomal RNA". It matches the Rfam family "Bacterial small subunit ribosomal RNA", at positions 28 to 507 of the family's 1533-position model. The record is from RNAcentral.
GAUGAACGCUGGCGGCGUGCCUAAUACAUGCAAGUCGAGCGAACAGAUGAGGAGCUUGCUCCUCUGACGUUAGCGGCGGACGGGUGAGUAACACGUGGAUAACCUACCUAUAAGACUGGGAUAACUUCGGGAAACCGGAGCUAAUACCGGAUAAUAUAUUGAACCGCAUGGUUCAAUAGUGAAAGACGGUUUUGCUGUCACUUAUAGAUGGAUCCGCGCCGCAUUAGCUAGUUGGUAAGGUAACGGCUUACCAAGGCUACGAUGCGUAGCCGACCUGAGAGGGUGAUCGUCCACACUGGAACUGAGACACGGUCCAGACUCCUACGGAAGGCAGCAGUAGGGAAUCUUCCGCAAUGGGCGAAAGCCUGACGGAGCAACGCCGCGUGAGUGAUGAAGGUCUUCGGAUCGUAAAACUCUGUUAUGAGGGAAGAACAAAUGUGUAAGUAACCAUGCACGUCUUGACGGUACCUAAUCAGAAAGCCACGGCUAACUACGUG